Tupaia belangeri chinensis (Chinese tree shrew) is the source of this 2357-nucleotide long non-coding RNA. RefSeq lists it as uncharacterized. The record is from RefSeq and is a predicted model, not a curated record. Lineage: Eukaryota; Metazoa; Chordata; Mammalia; Scandentia; Tupaiidae. The transcript has 2 exons.
CACACACAUAUAUGUAUUCUUUUUACAUUUUCUUUGAAAAUUAUUUCAAAUUUAUAAAAAUUGCAAAAAUUAGUACAAAUGAUAUUCGUCUACCUUGGAUCCGGAUUUUCCUAUGAACGUUUUACCUCAUUUGCUUUAUCAGUCCUCCCUUCCCAGCCCCCCGCCCCGUGUGUGUGUCUAUAUUUAGAUUUUUCCUGAACUAUUUGAAGGUAAGUUACAAAUAUCACUCUUUUCCACAUGAAUACCUUAUUGUGUGUUUUCCAAAAAGUGGGGACCAGAUGCCAUUUCCUGUCACUUGUGCUCUUCUCAGCAAGUGACUAACAUGCCAGCGGGUGACUCACUCAUGUCAUCGUGCUGGAAAGGCGGUGGACUCUAGAGGGGGAGUCUGUCCCUUCUCUGUGCUCUGCUCUUGUCCUGUGACAACCUGGCACCCUAGUGGAAUGCGGGAUGGGGGUAGAUGGUGGUGCACUGGGAGCUGAGCUGGAGGUGCCCUCUCUAGAUCGUCACACUGUGUCAGCUAGCUCCAUAACAGUGCCUGGGCCCAUCCCCACGGUAGAUCCACUUCUGCUGUGUGGGAGAGAUGCAGCCCACUCCCCGAGGAGCGCCGGGCUCCUGCAGCAGAGGUGCGGAGCACGUGGGAGUCACUUGUGCCCACUGGAUUCCAGAGGUAUCUUCCUGUCUGUAUGCAGGGACUUCUGCAAGUUCAUGGACAAGGCGAGUCGGAAUAUGAACAUUUUUGUUCAUAUGCAUUUUCAACACACAUGCAGAAGACCUCCUAUUUCAGCAUUUGGAGGACAUAACAGGACAUGAUUUCUCUCCUGCUUUAACUUUCUGACUUGGAGUUGAAACAUGUUGGCAUAUAAGUUGAGGUCCCAUAUUGAGCAGCUUGGAAGGCACUGCAUAGUGCGGAGAGAAAUCCCGGGUCUGGGACUGAGAGUGUGUGUGACUGCUAAUCCCCCUCCACCCUUCCCUACCUGUGAUGAUGGGCAGACAUCUCUGCAGGUGGUUUUCCCUUCAUGAUAGUUUACACUCCGAGUCGGAGGGGCUGGACAUCUUCCUGGCUGGAACCCGGGGAUGUGCACGUGCAGAGCAGCGUCGCAGUGAGUAAUGCUCACAGACCCAGGGCGCCGAGAGCUUCAUUCUGUCCGGGCUCGUCCUGUUUCUGUCACUGCCCUCCAGGAACUCCAGAUCCAUGCGAUCUGUUUCUGGGGGUUCUGCACCCAUAGAUGGAAUCCCCAGCUGUUGCUCCAGGCCACACUGAUGGUUAUGAAAGGGGGAAGAGGCAACUCCUUGAAAGAUUGCUGCUCAAGAAGUUUAUCUAUUUUUCUUUUCACUUGCCUCUGAUGCUGACAUUUCUUACGCGUAAUCUAGAGACGAUUUAAAAUCUGGGGGGGCGGGGUGCGUGUGGGCGCUGUGUGAAUGCCACAUCAUUUUGUGUGAAGGGCCUGAGCACCCACAGAUGUUCGUGUCUGCGGGACAUCCUGGGGCCAGUCCCCAUGGAUGCCAAGAGACAACUGUACUUCAUGUGAAGGGGACUCGGAAUAUGGGGUGGAAAUAUGGGAGGCCGACUCCCUCAGUCCUGUUUGUAGAGUGUUGAACGUUCUGUUUUGGUUUAGUUAUUAAACAGAUCCUGGGACCCUGGUCAUUCCCGGGUCUGUUUGACUCCUAGGCACAGGGCCUCUGUCUCACCUGCCGUGUCCUCUCUCGUGUGCUGCUGCUGGCCAGGCAGGAGGUGACACGAAGUAAUUGGUCACUACAUAAAUUGUGUCUCUCUCUCGUUUGUUUCCCACCUGCUUUCCGAGCCCCUUUCUCGGACAGGCCUCUGGCCCUGAGGCAGGAGUCGUCCUGAGUGUGGAGGUCAUUUGAGCCAUCAGCAGGCAGAGGGCUCACCGGGUCCCCUCAGAUGACAUGGAGAUGGAGGAAGCCACAGCCACGGAAGGGCAGUUCCUCCUGGUCCUACCUCAACAGCCCCCGCAGAGCACUCCUCAGAGGGGCUUCUGAGUGGCUUUUGUAAAUGGAAAACGACUUGCAGCAGUUUUUCUAAAACGUCAGCCCAUCCUGCAAUCAAUUUGUAAAAAUUCAUGUAAAAGUCAACUUGGAUUAAACUAACUUAUUCAGUGACUGCCGUUGUGCAAGGCCCCGAGCGAGGCGUCCGAGAAGAUAAAAAGCACUUACAGUGCCAUGGCCCCUUGGGGACCACCCCUUUAUGACAGAGACAAGGCAUGUUAGUGAGAGAGAUGGAGACGGUGGUAAAGAGAGCAUGUGACAGGCUGUGUUUAGGUCGCUCAAGAAUUCAGUGUGUUUUAUAGACUACGCUGCGAAGGGUGGCGAGAAAGAAGCAGGGGGAAUCAAUCCAU